RNAcentral lists this ribosomal RNA (253 nucleotides) under uncultured bacterium. RNAcentral's name for it is "partial 16S ribosomal RNA". It matches the Rfam family "Bacterial small subunit ribosomal RNA", at positions 524 to 776 of the family's 1533-position model. The record is from RNAcentral.
GACGUAGGGCGCGAGCGUUGUCCGGAUUUAUUGGGCGUAAAGCGCUCGCAGGUGGUUCGUUGCGUCGUGCGUGAAAGACCCCGGCUCAACUGGGGAGGGUCGUGCGAUACGGGCGAACUGGAGGCCAGUAGGGGGAUGCGGAAUUCCGGGUGUAGUGGUGGAAUGCGUAGAGAUCCGGAGGAACACCAGCGGCGAAGGCGGCAUCCUGGACUGGUCCUGACACUCAUGAGCGAAAGCGUGGGGAGCGAUCCGG